UUCGACAAGUGGGGAGUAGUUCUCGACAAAGGAAGGCCAGCCAAUUAGGGUGGCAUUUCUAUGAUGGACCGGAUAUGUUCUUUUAGAGUAGCUUUUCUGGCUUCUCUCUCGACGGCCACGGCAUCUUUGAAGGCUCCUUUUGGUGAGAUCUUCACCACUAGCUUAAAAAGAAGCAAGGGAAGGCUUUUCUUAGGGAUAACGUUUCAGAGUUCCUGAUGACCCUGAAAUUUGACAGGCAAAAGAAAGCGUUCUUCUUUCCUUUUUGAGUUUUUGAGUUCUUGUACCUCCUUAUCACCUAAGGUUUAUGAUGUACUUUGAUCUGGUUCAUUUCCUAUUUCACAUGCCACAGGCCAAAACUAAUUGGUUUAGAGUUGUGGCUAUUGUCGUAGGUUAGAUUAAGGCAACUCUCAACGGGAGGCCCAUUAGGCCCUUAUAGGGCAUGAAUUGAUUUAAGAGCCCAGUUGCCAUGACAAGGAAUUUCAGUACUUUUGUUGCAUAUUUUAUGAACUUAAGUAACUGAAAAUUCAAUUGUUUUUUAUUUUGCAUCAUGAAUAUAUUUGUUACGGGAAAGUUGAAGUAUGGCAUUUUGAGGGCCUGUUUGGAUAA
This 606-nucleotide long non-coding RNA is filed under the name Phoenix dactylifera (date palm). RNAcentral describes it as "long non-coding RNA (PDAC_LNC003120)". The record is from RNAcentral. Lineage: Eukaryota; Viridiplantae; Streptophyta; Magnoliopsida; Arecales; Arecaceae.